GUUUUUUUAUUUUAAAUAUUGAAAUAUAAAAGUUUCAAUUAUAUAAAAACAGUGAUCAAAUUUUUUGUUAUUUAUAUGAUAAAAAAAGUUUGAAAUAGAUUUUUUUAUGAUAAUUUUGGUUUUAGAAAUUCUUUUUCUUAAAGAAAAAAUAAUUUUUUAUUUAAAUUACAAUUUUUUUUAAAAUUUAUUAAUGUAUGUUUUAUGAAUUUUAAAUUAUAUUUAAAUUAUAAAAGUUU
Molecule: transfer RNA, 236 nt
Filed under: Pneumocystis jirovecii
Lineage: Eukaryota; Fungi; Ascomycota; Pneumocystomycetes; Pneumocystales; Pneumocystaceae
Description: tRNA-Pseudo(TTC)
Source: RNAcentral